GCCCUUUAAAAAGACACUGAAAAAGCCUAUAUUUGUCAUGCCGGCUUGUCCGGCUAUGACGCUAAACGCUUUGCGGAAUAAACGUAGCGGACCCGGGGGCGGUACCCGGCGCCUCCACCAGGAGUGCAUCAAGGUUUACAUUGAUCGGCGAAUCAUAAACGCCAUGAAAUGUUGCCAUACCCUUGGUGCCCUGCUGAUGGGGGCGAAACAGGAUCGACGCGCGUAAUAAAGGCACGGUUUGCGUUCGGCAUGGCUCCACCGAUAUCGGGCCAUUUCUACAAGUGCCAAUGAUAAUGAAAUGGUGCUCGCUGCCUAGAUAUAGGUAAGCGCGGUUUCGGGGGGCACCGGGCAACAGAAGCCCCCCACU
RNAcentral lists this transfer-messenger RNA (367 nucleotides) under Rhodospirillaceae bacterium. It matches the Rfam family "Alphaproteobacteria transfer-messenger RNA". Rfam says of the family: Bacterial tmRNA, also known as 10Sa RNA or SsrA, is named for its dual tRNA and mRNA-like properties. Its role is to liberate the mRNA from a stalled ribosome. Lineage: Bacteria; Pseudomonadati; Pseudomonadota; Alphaproteobacteria; Rhodospirillales; Rhodospirillaceae. The record is from RNAcentral.